RNAcentral lists this ribosomal RNA (301 nucleotides) under uncultured bacterium. RNAcentral's name for it is "partial 16S ribosomal RNA". It matches the Rfam family "Bacterial small subunit ribosomal RNA", at positions 509 to 809 of the family's 1533-position model. The record is from RNAcentral.
CAGUAGCCGCGGUAAUACAGAGGAUGCAAGCGUUAUCCGGAAUGAUUGGGUGUAAAGCGUCUGUAGGUGGCUUUUCAAGCCCGCCGUCAAAUCCUAGGGCUCAACCCUGGACAGGCAGUGGAAACUACCAAGCUGGAGUACGGUAGGGGUAGAGGGAAUUUCCGGUGGAGUGGUAAAAUGCGUUGAGAUCGGAAAGAACACCAAUGGCGAAAGCACUCUGCUGGGCCGACACUGACACUGAGAGACGAAAGCUAGGGGAGCAAAUGGGAUUAGAUACCCCUGUAGUCCCUGUCUCUUAUAA